GGGACACGUGGUAUCCUGUCUGAAUAUGGGGGGACCAUCCUCCAAGGCUAAAUACUCCUGACUGACCGAUAGUGAACCAGUACCGUGAGGGAAAGGCGAAAAGAACCCCGGCGAGGGGAGUGAAAAAGAACCUGAAACCGUGUACGUACAAGCAGUGGGAGCCUCUUAAUGGGGUGACUGCGUACCUUUUGUAUAAUGGGUCAGCGACUUAUAUUCUGUAGCAAGGUUAACCGAAUAGGGGAGCCGAAGGGAAACCGAGUCUUAACUGGGCGUUAAGUUGCAGGGUAUAGACCCGAAACCCGGUGAUCUAGCCAUGGGCAGGUUGAAGGUUGGGUAACACUAACUGGAGGACCGAACCGACUAAUGUUGAAAAAUUAGCGGAUGACUUGUGGCUGGGGGUGAAAGGCCAAUCAAACCGGGAGAUAGCUGGUUCUCCCCGAAAGCUAUUUAGGUAGCGCCUCGUGAAUUCAUCUCCGGGGGUAGAGCACUGUUUCGGCAAGGGGGUCAUCCCGACUUACCAACCCGAUGCAAACUGCGAAUACCGGAGAAUGUUAUCACGGGAGACACACGGCGGGUGCUAACGUCCGUCGUGAAGAGGGAAACAACCCAGACCGCCAGCUAAGGUCCCAAAGUCAUGGUUAAGUGGGAAACGAUGUGGGAAGGCCCAGACAGCCAGGAUGUUGGCUUAGAAGCAGCCAUCAUUUAAAGAAAGCGUAAUAGCUCACUGGUCGAGUCGGCCUGCGCGGAAGAUGUAACGGGGCUAAACCAUGCACCGAAGCUGCGGCAGCGACACUAUGUGUUG
RNAcentral lists this ribosomal RNA (802 nucleotides) under Escherichia coli. RNAcentral describes it as "partial 23S ribosomal RNA". It matches the Rfam family "Bacterial large subunit ribosomal RNA", at positions 419 to 1223 of the family's 2925-position model. Lineage: Bacteria; Pseudomonadati; Pseudomonadota; Gammaproteobacteria; Enterobacterales; Enterobacteriaceae. The record is from RNAcentral.